RNAcentral lists this ribosomal RNA (1193 nucleotides) under Micrococcus lylae. RNAcentral's name for it is "bacterial SSU rRNA". It matches the Rfam family "Bacterial small subunit ribosomal RNA", at positions 110 to 1316 of the family's 1533-position model. The record is from RNAcentral. Lineage: Bacteria; Bacillati; Actinomycetota; Actinomycetes; Micrococcales; Micrococcaceae.
GUAACACGUGAGUAACCUGCCCUUGACUCUGGGAUAAGCCUUGGAAACGGGGUCUAAUACCGGAUAGGAGCAUUCACCGCAUGGUGGGUGUUGGAAAGAAUUUCGGUCUUGGAUGGACUCGCGGCCCAUCAGCUUGUUGGUGAGGUAAUGGCUCACCAAGGCGACGACGGGUAGCCGGCCUGAGAGGGUGACCGGCCACACUGGGACUGAGACACGGCCCAGACUCCUACGGGAGGCAGCAGUGGGGAAUAUUGCACAAUGGGCGCAAGCCUGAUGCAGCGACGCCGCGUGAGGGAUGACGGCCUUCGGGUUGUAAACCUCUUUCAGUAGGGAAGAAGCGAAAGUGACGGUACCUGCAGAAGAAGCACCGGCUAACUACGUGCCAGCAGCCGCGGUAAUACGUAGGGUGCGAGCGUUAUCCGGAAUUAUUGGGCGUAAAGAGCUCGUAGGCGGUUUGUCGCGUCUGUCGUGAAAGUCCGGGGCUUAACUCCGGAUCUGCGGUGGGUACGGGCAGACUAGAGUGCAGUAGGGGAGACUGGAAUUCCUGGUGUAGCGGUGGAAUGCGCAGAUAUCAGGAGGAACACCGAUGGCGAAGGCAGGUCUCUGGGCUGUAACUGACGCUGAGGAGCGAAAGCAUGGGGAGCGAACAGGAUUAGAUACCCUGGUAGUCCAUGCCGUAAACGUUGGGCACUAGGUGUGGGGGCCAUUCCACGGUUUCCGCGCCGCAGCUAACGCAUUAAGUGCCCCGCCUGGGGAGUACGGCCGCAAGGCUAAAACUCAAAGGAAUUGACGGGGGCCCGCACAAGCGGCGGAGCAUGCGGAUUAAUUCGAUGCAACGCGAAGAACCUUACCAAGGCUUGACAUGUUCUCGUUCGCCGUAGAGAUACGGUUUCCCCUUUGGGGCGGGUUCACAGGUGGUGCAUGGUUGUCGUCAGCUCGUGUCGUGAGAUGUUGGGUUAAGUCCCGCAACGAUCGCAACCCUUGUUCUAUGUUGCCAGCACGUGGUGGUGGGGACUCUUGGGAGACUGCCGGGGUCAACUCGGAGGAAGGUGGGGACGACGUCAAAUCAUCAUGCCCCUUAUGUCUUGGGCUUCACGCAUGCUACAAUGGCCGGUACAAUGGGUUGCGAUACUGUGAGGUGGAGCUAAUCCCAAAAAGCCGGUCUCAGUUCGGAUUGGGGUCUGCAACUCGAC